UACGUAGGCAGCGAGCGUUGUUCGGAGUUACUGGGCGUAAAGGGUGUGUAGGCGGUUGUUUAAGUUUGGUGUGAAAUCUCCCGGCUCAACUGGGAGGGUGCGCCGAAUACUGAAUGACUUCGAGUGCGGGAGAGGAGAGUGGAAUUCCUGGUGUAGCGGUGAAAUGCGUAGAUACCAGGAGGAACACCGGUGGCGAAGGCGGGUCUCUGGGCCAAUACUGACGCUGAGGAGCGAAAGCGUGGGGAGCGAACAGG
This 254-nucleotide ribosomal RNA is filed under the name uncultured bacterium. RNAcentral describes it as "partial 16S ribosomal RNA". It matches the Rfam family "Bacterial small subunit ribosomal RNA", at positions 524 to 776 of the family's 1533-position model. The record is from RNAcentral.